GAUGAACGCUGGCGGCGUGCCUAAUACAUGCAAGUCGAGCGAACAGACGAGGAGCUUGCUCCUCUGACGUUAGCGGCGGACGGGUGAGUAACACGUGGAUAACCUACCUAUCAGACUGGGAUAACUUCGGGAAACCGGAGCUAAUACCGGAUAAUAUAUUGAACCGCAUGGUUCAAUAGUGAAAGACGGUUUUGCUGUCACUUCUAGCUGGAUCCGGGCCGCUUUAGCGAGUUGGUAAGGUAACGGCUUACCAAGGCAACGAUGCGUAGCCGACCUGAGAGGGGGAUCGGCCACAUUGGAAGGGAGACACGGUCCAGACUCCUACGGGAGGCAGCAGUAGGGAAUCUUCCGCAAUGGGCGAAAGCCUGACGGAGCAACGCCGCGUGAGAGAUGAAGGUCUUCGGAUCGUAAAACUCUGUUAUUAGGGAAGAACAAAUGUGUAAGUAAAUAUGCACGUCUUGACGGUACCUAAUCAGAAAGCCACGGCUAACUACGUG
RNAcentral lists this ribosomal RNA (497 nucleotides) under uncultured bacterium. Its description in RNAcentral is "partial 16S ribosomal RNA". It matches the Rfam family "Bacterial small subunit ribosomal RNA", at positions 28 to 507 of the family's 1533-position model. The record is from RNAcentral.